AUUGAACGCUGGCGGCAGGCCUAACACAUGCAAGUCGAAUGGUAACAGGAAACAGCUUGCUGUUUCGCUGACGAGUGGCGGACGGGUGAGUAAUGUCUGGGAAACUGCCUGAUGGAGGGGGAUAACUACUGGAAACGGUAGCUAAUACCGCAUAACGUCGCAAGACCAAAGAGGGGGACCUUCGGGCCUCUUGCCAUCAGACGUGCCCAGAUGGGAUUAGCUAGUAGGUGGGGUAACGGCUCACCUAGGCGACGAUCCCUAGCUGGUCUGAGAGGAUGACCAGCCACACUGGAACUGAGACACGGUCCAGACUCCUACGGGAGGCAGCAGUGGGGAAUAUUGCACAAUGGGCGCAAGCCUGAUGCAGCCAUGCCGCGUGUAUGAAGAAGGCCUUCGGGUUGUAAAGUACUUUCAGCGGGGAGGAAGGGAGUAAAGUUAAUACCUUUGCUCAUUGACGUUACCCGCAGAAGAAGCACCGGCUAACUCCGUG
RNAcentral lists this ribosomal RNA (490 nucleotides) under uncultured bacterium. RNAcentral's name for it is "partial 16S ribosomal RNA". It matches the Rfam family "Bacterial small subunit ribosomal RNA", at positions 30 to 507 of the family's 1533-position model. The record is from RNAcentral.